RNAcentral lists this ribosomal RNA (253 nucleotides) under uncultured bacterium. Its description in RNAcentral is "partial 16S ribosomal RNA". It matches the Rfam family "Bacterial small subunit ribosomal RNA", at positions 524 to 776 of the family's 1533-position model. The record is from RNAcentral.
UACGGGGGGGGCAAGCGUUGUUCGGAAUUACUGGGCGGAAAGGGCUCGUAGGUGGCCAACUAAGUCAUACGUGAAAUCCCUCGGCUUAACCGGGGAACUGCGUCUGAUACUGGAUGGCUUGAGGUUGGGAGAGGGAUGCGGAAUUCCAGGUGUAGCGGUGAAAUGCGUAGAUAUCUGGAGGAACACCGGUGGCGAAGGCGGCAUCCUGGACCAAUUCUGACACUGAGGAGCGAAAGCCAGGGGAGCAAACGGG